This 275-nucleotide long non-coding RNA is filed under the name Elaeis guineensis (African oil palm). RNAcentral describes it as "long non-coding RNA (EGUI_LNC035780)". Lineage: Eukaryota; Viridiplantae; Streptophyta; Magnoliopsida; Arecales; Arecaceae. The record is from RNAcentral.
UCGAAAUCAGGGAAGAGCUAGAUUAUCAAGGCCUUGCAGCCAUCAAAACCUAUGUAAUACAUGACUAUCGACCCUUCAACAACCUCAACCUAAAAGGCAACUAAGGCCUUGAAGUCCGCCUAGCCCGAUUGCCUGAAUCUUGAGCAGCUACUUCUACGACAGUCAUCCUCUCCUUGGUAGAUCAUAUCUGCUCCUAGAACUCGGCUAUCUGCUGGUGACACAGCAUAGCUAUGGCCUUCUCCAUUGUUGUCUAGCCUUCUUUGACUUAGGCCCUC